UAGAUUGGGCUUGGUCGGCAGG
This 22-nucleotide microRNA is filed under the name Ephydatia muelleri. Its description in RNAcentral is "Emu-Mir-2014_5p (mature (guide))". Lineage: Eukaryota; Metazoa; Porifera; Demospongiae; Spongillida; Spongillidae. The record is from RNAcentral.